GUACACUCCUACGGGAGGCAGCAGUGGGGAAUUUUGGACAAUGGGCGAAAGCCUGAUCCAGCAAUGCCGCGUGAGUGAAGAAGGCCUUCGGGUUGUAAAGCUCUUUUGUCAGGGAAGAAACGGUGAGAGCUAAUAUCUCUUGCUAAUGACGGUACCUGAAGAAUAAGCACCGGCUAACUACGUGCCAGCAGCCGCGGUAAUACGUAGGGUGCAAGCGUUAAUCGGAAUUACUGGGCGUAAAGCGUGCGCAGGCGGUUUUGUAAGUCUGAUGUGAAAUCCCCGGGCUCAACCUGGGAAUUGCAUUGGAGACUGCAAGGCUAGAAUCUGGCAGAGGGGGGUAGAAUUCCACGUGUAGCAGUGAAAUGCGUAGAUAUGUGGAGGAACACCGAUGGCGAAGGCAGCCCCCUGGGUCAAGAUUGACGCUCAUGCACGAAAGCGUGGGGAGCAAACAGGAUUAGAAACCCCGGUAGUCCCAUG
Molecule: ribosomal RNA, 477 nt
Filed under: uncultured organism
Description: partial 16S ribosomal RNA
Rfam family: Bacterial small subunit ribosomal RNA
Source: RNAcentral